Molecule: transfer RNA, 83 nt
Organism: Schistosoma mansoni
Lineage: Eukaryota; Metazoa; Platyhelminthes; Trematoda; Strigeidida; Schistosomatidae
Rfam family: tRNA
About the family: Transfer RNA (tRNA) molecules are approximately 80 nucleotides in length. Their secondary structure includes four short double-helical elements and three loops (D, anti-codon, and T loops). Further hydrogen bonds mediate the characteristic L-shaped molecular structure. tRNAs have two regions of fundamental functional importance: the anti-codon, which is responsible for specific mRNA codon recognition, and the 3' end, to which the tRNAs corresponding amino acid is attached (by aminoacyl-tRNA synthetases). tRNAs cope with the degeneracy of the genetic code in two manners: having more than one tRNA (with a specific anti-codon) for a particular amino acid; and 'wobble' base-pairing, i.e. permitting non-standard base-pairing at the 3rd anti-codon position.
Source: Rfam
GUCAGGAUGACCAAGCGGUCCAAGGCGCUGAGUUCAAGUCGCAGUUCACUCUGUGGUCGUGGGUUCGAGUCCCAAUCUUGAUA